RNAcentral lists this ribosomal RNA (260 nucleotides) under uncultured bacterium. RNAcentral's name for it is "partial 16S ribosomal RNA". It matches the Rfam family "Bacterial small subunit ribosomal RNA", at positions 524 to 776 of the family's 1533-position model. The record is from RNAcentral.
GACGAGGGAUCCUGAGCGUUGCUCGGAAUCAUUGGGCGUAAAGCGGGUGUAGGUGGCUUGGUAAGUCGGGUGUGGAAAGCCCAGGGCUACAACCCUGGAAGGUGACCAUUCCGAUACUGCUGAGCUUGAGUGCGAGAGAGGGUUAAUAGAAUACCUGGUGUAGUGGUGAAAUACGUAGAUAUCAGGUGGAACACCGGAGCGAAGGCGGUUAACUGGCUCGACACUGACACUGAGACCCGAAAGUGCGGGAGUCAAACAGG